AUGGCCAUGAAAAUGGAUCUGAAGAUGAUCAUCGUGUGCUCGGUCGUCGGCUCUCUCGGGGUGCUGAGUGCCAUCCUGGGGUUCUCUGCCGAGGGCACCAAGCUCACUAUUUUGGACGUGUACGAGGGUAUCGGGGUGUGCCUGAAACCGCAGAACCCCGCGUUCGGGCUCGGGGUGUGCGCGGCCAUCUUCCUGGCCAUAGCCCAGAUCAUCUUCGCGGCCCUCGGCGGCUGCUGCGGCUGCUGCAAGCCCCGCGCCAUCCCCUCCCAGAGCAAACGGGUCAUCGGCGUCAUCUGCGCCGUCUUCUCAUGGAUUGUGGCGGCGGUCGCCUUUGGGAUGCUGGUGGCAGAAGCGGCCGCGAACGCCCCCGGGACGCGUGAAACGUCAGCGUCCGGCUAUUGCUACAUCCCCCUAGACGGCAUCUUCGCCGGCGGCGCCGCGCUCACGCUCGUCGCCACGGCCCUCGGGAUCACCUCCUACGUCAUGCUCCGCACGCAGCCUGCCACUGUUGCCGAGACCGCCGCGCCCAAGGAAGGCGAGCAGGUGCCGGCGGGCGCCGCCGAGAUCUCGACGGGGCAGCCGCAGUUCCCGCCGCAGCCUCCCCAGGGGCAGGCGCCGCCCGCGCCGCCGAGCUACCUGCAGUACUCUGCACCGCCCCAGGGGCAGCCGUACGACCAAGCGCCCUACCCGCCUCCUCCGGCACAGGGCUAUGGAGCGCACGCACCCAACCAGCAGCAACAGUUUCCCCCUCCUCCCGCAGAAGGCUACGGAGCGCACGCGCCAAACCAGCAGCAACCCCCUCCUCCUAAAGGACACGAACAGCAAUAA
This 828-nucleotide ribosomal RNA is filed under the name Triticum aestivum (bread wheat). RNAcentral's name for it is "partial small subunit ribosomal RNA". The record is from RNAcentral. Lineage: Eukaryota; Viridiplantae; Streptophyta; Magnoliopsida; Poales; Poaceae.